GUUUGAUCUCAGUUACUCUCUUACUUGAAGAAGGCUUCGAUGAUUCCUCAUGGAGAAAUCCCAGAUACUUCUGCACAUGAUUCAAAGGUCCCUUACAACUGGCUUCAGCCUGCCUUCCAAGCCCUGUCUCUCGCCUCUCCCUUCCUUCAUGCCGUGCGUCAGUGAGGUAGGAAUGCUUGUGAUUCACCUUCCAGGUCAAGAUGAUUGGCCCCUCUGCCUUCACAUAUGCUGUUCCCUCUGCUGUUCCCCAUGCUGCACCCAGGGAGCUGCCCAUCACCCGCCAGGACCUUCCUGCCCUGGGUGCACCCAUAGUGCUUUGUGCCUUUCUCUUUCUUGCCACUUGCCACAUUUUACUGUAGUUAUUUGUUUAUAAUUACAAAUAUAAACC
Molecule: long non-coding RNA, 388 nt
Filed under: Pan troglodytes (chimpanzee)
Lineage: Eukaryota; Metazoa; Chordata; Mammalia; Primates; Hominidae
Description: lincRNA
Source: RNAcentral